UACGGGGGGGGCAAGCGUUGUUCGGAAUUACUGGGCGUAAAGGGCUCGUAGGCGGCCAACUAAGUCGGAUGUGAAAUCCCCAAGCUUAACUUGGGAACUGCAUCCGAUACUGGAUGGCUUGAAUCCGGGAGAGGGAUGCAGAAUUCCAGGUGUAGCGGUGAAAUGCGUAGAUAUCUGGAGGAAUACCGGUGGCGAAGGCGGCACCCUGGACCGGCAUUGACGCUGAGGAGCGAAAGCUAGGGGAGCAAACGGG
This 253-nucleotide ribosomal RNA is filed under the name uncultured bacterium. RNAcentral's name for it is "partial 16S ribosomal RNA". It matches the Rfam family "Bacterial small subunit ribosomal RNA", at positions 524 to 776 of the family's 1533-position model. The record is from RNAcentral.